UCUGGAGCUACAGGUUCACAACAACAACAAAAAUCUCUCAUCAUUUACUCAAUCUCACGUCAAUCCAAACCUGUAGUACAGAGGGACUCACGUGUGUAGACAGACAGGUUAAUGUAGCAGUGCUGGGUUCCCAGUGGGUUGGUCACUGAGCAGCGGUAGAGGCCAGAGGCCUGUGCAGACAUAUUGGCAAUGUGCACAGAGCCCUUUAAAUCACCUGAGACAGAUACAGCUUUUCCCAGAUCACCUGUGGAGUAGGAAAGCCCUCCGCCACCAGACAGGACAGUUGCACAUUGCCUCCAGCUUCGGUGUCCCCUUCCCACAGACACACAGGAAGGGACGGAGGUGCUGCACACACAGAGAG
Molecule: long non-coding RNA, 361 nt
Organism: Cyprinus carpio (common carp)
Lineage: Eukaryota; Metazoa; Chordata; Actinopteri; Cypriniformes; Cyprinidae
Exons: 2
Source: RefSeq, a predicted model, not a curated record